RNAcentral lists this ribosomal RNA (481 nucleotides) under uncultured Flavobacteriales bacterium. Its description in RNAcentral is "bacterial SSU rRNA". It matches the Rfam family "Bacterial small subunit ribosomal RNA", at positions 28 to 505 of the family's 1533-position model. The record is from RNAcentral. Lineage: Bacteria; Pseudomonadati; Bacteroidota; Flavobacteriia; Flavobacteriales.
GAUGAACGCUAGCGGGAGGCUUAACACAUGCAAGUCGAGGGGCAGCAUAUCUAGCUUGCUAGAAGAUGGCGACCGGCGGACGGGUGCGUAACGCGUAUACAACUUGCCUAUCACUAGGGGAUAGCCAUUGGAAACGAUGAAUAAUACCCUAUGGUCUAUGGUAUUGCAUGAUACUAAUAGUAAAGGUUACGGUGAUAGAUGGGUAUGCGUCCAAUUAGCUAGUUGGUGCGGUAACGGCGUACCAAGGCGAUGAUUGGUAGGGGGCCUGAGAGGGUGAACCCCCACACUGGUACUGAGACACGGACCAGACUCCUACGGGAGGCAGCAGUGAGGAAUAUUGGUCAAUGGAGGGAACUCUGAACCAGCCAUCCCGCGUGUAGGAAGACGGCCUUAUGGGUUGUAAACUACUUUUAUACAGGAAGAAACGUACCCUCGUGAGGGUGCCUGACGGUACUGUAGGAAUAAGCACCGGCUAACUCCG